RNAcentral lists this ribosomal RNA (1463 nucleotides) under Gangesia macrones. RNAcentral describes it as "partial large subunit ribosomal RNA". It matches the Rfam family "Eukaryotic large subunit ribosomal RNA", at positions 67 to 927 of the family's 3401-position model. The record is from RNAcentral. Lineage: Eukaryota; Metazoa; Platyhelminthes; Cestoda; Proteocephalidea; Proteocephalidae.
AACCAGGAUUCCCCUAGUAACGGCGAGUGAAGAGGGAAAAGCCCAGCACCGAAGCCUGCGGCAGUUUUGCUGUUAAGCAAUGUGGUGUUUGGGUCGGCUCGUGGGAUCGCCACUCCACUCGAAGUCCAGCAUUGAGUAUGGUUACUGGAUUUGGCCCAGAGAGGGUGAAAGGCCCGUACGGGUGGAGGUUCAGACAUGUGAGGCGGUUCACCAGGUCGACCUUAGAGUCGGGUUGUUUGGGAAUGCAGCCCAAAGUGGGUGGUAAACUCCAUCCAAGGCUAAAUACAAGCACGAGUCCGAUAGCGAACAAGUACCGUGAGGGAAAGUUGAAAAGUACUCUGAAGAGAGAGUAAACAGUACGUGAAACCGCAUGCAGGUAAACGGGUGGCGUCAAGCUGCAAGCCCAGAGGAUUCAGCCGACUAGGAUGUAGUGUAUGCGCCUGGCGCAUCUAUCAGCCAGAGUAGGAUCGUAUGGUCCACUAGGAUAUAGUGGGCCCGUCGUCCUUGUGGCGGCGGGAUGCGUGUACCGGGUGGGUGCCGGAACGUGCUAUACGUUUGAGGGCUGUCUAGUCGGUGCACUUUCUCUGUGGUGAACACCACGACCGGUGGUAUUGCCAGUCUGCUGUGUCCAAGUUGUGCUCGGUAGGUCGUCAUGGCCAAUCGGGUGCAGCGAUCACACGCAAACUCAGUAAACGGCGUAGAGGUGUUUCGGCAUUUCUGCGUGUUAUCGGCUACUGGUUGUGAACGGGCCUGCUCGGGCUUGUUGUAGUUGGCAUCGGGUGGCUCGGUGGGACACGGUGGUAAGAAUAACUGUGCAAGGCACCGGAGUUCGCGGCCUCAAAUGCAUUCUGCGCCCAGGCUACAACUGGUUUGUGGGUGGCGCCGUUGCUGUCUGCCCGGUCUUGUUGGGUCUGAUCGUCGUGUUGUCUGCGUAAAGUGGACCCGGCGGUGGCUCGACUCGGGAUGGGCAGUUGGCGGUGUUGCCAGUGCAGAGUGCUGUGGGCCCAAUAGUCAGUGGUGUAGUGGUAGACGAGCUACCCGACCCGUCUUGAAACACGGACCAAGGAGUUUAACGUGUAUGCGAGUCAAUGGGCCCUACGAAACCCAAAGGCGCAGUGAAAGUGAAGCCCCGACUUGUCUCGGGGUGAGGUGAGAUCCUGCUGUUACUCGCAUCAGUCUAAUGUGUCAGCAUCAGGCUAAGAGCAGUGGGCGCAUCACCGGCCCGUCCCAUGACGUGGUCAUUGGAAGUCUGCGGCGGCGGCGGCGGCGGCGGCAACUCUUGCUUGUCUUGUCGUCUUCGUCGUGGUGCCAGUGCGUCGUCGGGGCGGUGCAUGAGCAUACACGUUGAGACCCGAAAGAUGGUGAACUAUGCUUGCGUAGGUUGAAGCCAGAGGAAACUCUGGUGGAGGACCGCAGCGAUUCUGACGUGCAAAUCGAUCGUCAAACGUGAGCAUAGGGGCGAA